CAAUUAGGGAGAGCCAGGGGGCAGAGCUGAGGAUGGUAGGAAUUACAAAAGAGCAAGUGCUAAAAGAGCUAAAAGGUCUAAAAAUUGAUAAAUCUCCUGGCCCCAAUGGGCUAUAUCCUAGAGUUCUGAACAAGGUGGCUGAGGAAAUAGCAGAGGCUUUGGCUAUGAUCUUUCAAAAGUCAGUGUAGUUUUUUUUUGAGUGCGAGCAGCAGCGGAGGCAAGACGGACCCGGAAGACUGCAGCUAAGGUAAAGCAGUUUAUUUUUAAAAUUACUUACCGGUAGCGGGCAGCGGUGUUUUUCCUCUUUCAGAGAAGGAGCGGGAGCAGCAGAGGAAGUGACGAGGACCAGAGGGGCAGCCGGGAAGGAAAGCAGUGAGUAUAAAUACUCACCCUUCGACGCCAACGGCCAUUAUGAGUGCGAGCAGCAGCAGAGGCAAGAUGGACCCGGAAGACUGCAGCUAAGAUGCGGAUAAAGUUCUCCAAGCUGACAGAAAUUGAAAGCACUCGCAUCCUGUGACGAUGGGGUAGGAGUGGAAGAAUCAGAGUGUUUCUUUGAAAAUUGGCUUGAUGUGUCUGUCCAAGGGUCAUCUGGAGGAAAAAAUACAAGUAUAUCUUCAAACAAGUAGCUGAACCCACAGAUUUAUGUGACCAACGAAGCCUGAGCCUUUUGCUUCACGAUGCAGUCCAGAUCCCUCGGCAGCUGGGUGAGGUAGCUUCAUUUGGAGGCAGCACCAUUGAACCAAGUGUCCGCAGUUGCUUCCAACAUGCACUCAGACAUGAACUAAUGGAUAAGGAGGAGACAAUCAUAACUGCUUUGGAUUCAGCCCAUAGAAGGGCCAGAGGAGCCGCGCUGACACCUUCAUGUUUAAACAGAGGACACUUUUCUGCGUGCCACGAGAUGUAUAUCAGCCAUACCAAAAUGCUGCCUUUGCCUGAGACAGGGAAGAUCAACUGACUUUGGGGAAAUGGAGAAUCAUUCAUGAAUCCAGUUACUUUCUGAUCUGACAGCUUUGUGGCAUCUGAAUGGAUAACAAUUUGAUCUGGUAAUCUCAAUUGAUAGAGUGCAAAUGUGUAGUGAUGCAUUUUGGGAGCUCUGGUAAGUGAAAGAUGUUCACAAUGACUAGUAGAUCCCUAGAGAGCACUGAGAAACAAAGGGACCUUGAUGUCCAAAAGCAAGAGUUCAUGCCCUCUGCUUCUGGCCUUUCAGGCAAAGUUGGAUCCAACACUCCACUGAGUCUUAGAUCCCAUGAGCUCUUGUUUUGUUGACCAGUCUGCUAUCACUGACCUUAUCAAAAACAUAUAGACCACAUCAGAUGAAUUUCCCUCUUCAACACUUCUGAUAUCUCCUCAAUAAAAAUUAGAUAAAAUUUGCAAACCAUGGCAUUACCUCAACAAAGCCAUGCUGACUAUCCCCGAACAUUCCAUGUUUCUCCAAGUGCAGCGACAUUUUGUCCCUUAAAAUUCUUUCUGAUAACUUCCCUACCACCAAGGUUAGACUGGCUUGUAACUUCUGGAUCUGUCCUUUCUUCUUUUAUAUAAAAGUAUGAGCGGUCCUCUGGCACCUUAGCUGUGGCCAGAAAUGACUUGAAAAAUCUUUGCCAGGACCUUUUGAUAUCUCCUCCCCUGCUUCAUAAAGUCAUGCAGUACAGAAACACGCUCACUUGAUCAACAUCAAUGCCAACUAACAAACAUCAAACUACUGAUCCCAUUUACCUGCACUGAGUCAUUACCUGCCAUACCCUGGCCCUUUAAAUGCUCAUCUGUUGCUUCUUUAAUAUUGCAAGCGUAUCUGCCUUCUCCACCUUGUCAAGCAGCAUAUUACAUGUUUGUAUCACUUUUGGUGAAAACACUUGCCUCAGAUCCCCUCUAAAUAGCUGACAGUUUACCUGAAAUCUAUGCCCCCUGACUUAAACUCGUCUACUGGUUCUCACAAUCAAUCUAUGCCUCUCAUAAUUUUGUAUACGUCGAUCAGAUUUCCCCUCAGCCUCCUCUGCUGCAUGGAAAACGCAAUUAGCCUACCAGUUUCUCCUCAUAAAACUUGCAUUCAAUCACAAAACAACACCCUGAAACAUAUACUAUCAACCAACCUGGCCAACAUCUCUGUCUCCGGCUUGCUACAGUGUUCCAGUGAAGCCCAGCACAAGCAGACAGAACAACACCUCAUUUUCUACUUGGGGACCUGACAGCCCUCCAGACUUAACAUUGAGUUCUGCAAUGUUAGGGCCUAAACUCUCCCAUAUCCCAGCGCCCCCACCCCACACACCAACCCUCUGCUCUCAGUAACACUGUCUGCCCGUCACAGGGCCCUCACCCCCUCCUCUAAGUAAUACUGCCCGUCACAGGG
Stegostoma tigrinum is the source of this 2344-nucleotide long non-coding RNA. RefSeq lists it as uncharacterized. The transcript is spliced from 6 exons. The record is from RefSeq and is a predicted model, not a curated record. NCBI's taxonomy places the organism in Eukaryota, Metazoa, Chordata, Chondrichthyes, Orectolobiformes, Stegostomatidae.